This 253-nucleotide ribosomal RNA is filed under the name uncultured bacterium. RNAcentral's name for it is "partial 16S ribosomal RNA". It matches the Rfam family "Bacterial small subunit ribosomal RNA", at positions 524 to 776 of the family's 1533-position model. The record is from RNAcentral.
UACAGAGGUCUCAAGCGUUGUUCGGAUUCAUUGGGCGUAAAGGGUGCGUAGGCGGCUUGGGAAGUCUGUGGUGAAAGCUCGUGGCUCAACUGCGAGUCGGCCAUAGAUACUCCUAAGCUCGAGUCGACUAGAGGCAGAUGGAAUUCCGGGUGUAGCGGUGGAAUGCGUAGAUAUCAGGAGGAACACCGGUGGCGAAGGCGGGAUCCUGGGCCAGUACUGACGCUGAGGAGCGAAAGCGUGGGGAGCGAACAGG